CAAUAGCGUAUAUUAAAGUUGUUGCAGCUAAAAAGCUCGUAGUUGGAUUUCUGGUCGGAAGCUCCUGUCCUCUGAUGAGCGUACAAGUGCGUCCUACCAUCCUUCUGUUAACCUUUAAGGCUUUCGCGGCUUUCUAGGGGCUCAGAUAUUUUACCUUGAGAAAAUUAGAGUGUUUCAGGCAGGCUAGCGCCGGAAUACAUUAGCAUGGAAUAAUGGAAUAGGACUUUUGCCUCUUCUGUUGGUCAUGAGGCUCGAGUAAUGAUUAAUAGGGAUAGUUGGGGGCAUUAGUACUUAACUGUCAGAGGUGAAAUUCUCGGAUUUGUUAAAGACUAACUUAUGCGAAAGCAUUUGCCAAGGAUGUUUUCAUUAA
Molecule: ribosomal RNA, 370 nt
Filed under: uncultured eukaryote
Lineage: Eukaryota
Description: partial 18S ribosomal RNA
Rfam family: Eukaryotic small subunit ribosomal RNA
Source: RNAcentral